Molecule: ribosomal RNA, 537 nt
Filed under: uncultured bacterium
Lineage: Bacteria
Description: bacterial SSU rRNA
Rfam family: Bacterial small subunit ribosomal RNA
Source: RNAcentral
AGGGUUUGAUCAUGGCUCAGAACGAACGCUGGCGGCGUGGAUAAGACAUGCAAGUCGAACGGGAGUUUGUUUAUAGCAAUAUGAGUGAACUCUAGUGGCGAAAGGGUGCGUAACACGUAGCUACCUACCUCGAAGUUGGGGAUAGCUCGGCGAAAGCCGGAUUAAUACCGAAUGUGAUCGUAAGAUCAAAGCUGGGGAUCGUAAGACCUGGCGCUUUGAGAUGGGGCUGUGGCCUAUCAGGUAGUUGGCGGGGUAAUGGCCCACCAAGCCUAAGACGGGUAGCUGGUCUGAGAGGACGACCAGCCACACUGGAACUGAGACACGGUCCAGACACCUACGGGUGGCAGCAGUCGAGGAUUUUUCUCAAUGGGGGAAACCCUGAAGGAGCGACGCCGCGUGAGGGAUGAAGGUCUUCGGAUUGUAAACCUCUGUCAUCUGGGAACAAUGUAAUCUACCUAACACGUGGAUUAUUGAUAGUACCGGAAGAGGAAGCAGUGGCUAACUCUGUGCCAGCAGCCGCGGUAAUACAGAGACUGC